This 513-nucleotide ribosomal RNA is filed under the name uncultured bacterium. RNAcentral describes it as "partial 16S ribosomal RNA". It matches the Rfam family "Bacterial small subunit ribosomal RNA", at positions 28 to 523 of the family's 1533-position model. The record is from RNAcentral.
GACGAACGCUGGCGGCGUGCCUAAUACAUGCAAGUAGAGCGCUGAAGAGAGGAGCUUGCUCUUCUUGGAUGAGUUGCGAACGGGUGAGUAACGCGUAGGUAACCUGCCUUGUAGCGGGGGAUAACUAUUGGAAACGAUAGCUAAUACCGCAUAACAAUGGAUGACACAUGUCAUUUAUUUGAAAGGGGCAAUUGCUCCACUACAAGAUGGACCUGCGUUGUAUUAGCUAGUAGGUGAGGUAACGGCUCACCUAGGCGACGAUACAUAGCCGACCGGAGAGGGUGAUCGGCCACACUGGGACUGGAACACGGCCCAGACUCCUACGGGAGGCAGCAGUAGGGAAUCUUCGGCAAUGGGGGCAACCCUGACCGAGCAACGCCGCGUGAGUGAAGAAGGUUUUCGGAUCGUAAAGCUCUGUUGUAAGUCAAGAACGAGUGUGAGAGUGGAAAGUUCACACUGUGACGGUAGCUUACCAGAAAGGGACGGCUAACUACGUGCCAGCAGCCGCGGUAA